This 373-nucleotide ribosomal RNA is filed under the name uncultured bacterium. RNAcentral's name for it is "bacterial SSU rRNA". It matches the Rfam family "Bacterial small subunit ribosomal RNA", at positions 523 to 898 of the family's 1533-position model. The record is from RNAcentral.
AUACGGAGGAUCCAAGCGUUAUCCGGAAUCAUUGGGUUUAAAGGGUCCGUAGGCGGUUUUAUAAGUCAGUGGUGAAAUCCGGCAGCUCAACUGUCGAACUGCCAUUGAUACUGUAGGACUUGAAUUAUUGUGAAGUAACUAGAAUAUGUAGUGUAGCGGUGAAAUGCUUAGAUAUUACAUGGAAUACCCAUUGCGAAGGCAGGUUACUAACAAUACAUUGACGCUGAUGGACGAAAGCGUGGGGAGCGAACAGGAUUAGAUACCCUGGUAGUCCACGCCGUAAACGAUGGAUACUAGCUGUUUGGUUUUCGGACUGAGUGGCUAAGCGAAAGUGAUAAGUAUCCCACCUGGGGAGUACGGGCGCAAGCCUGAA